CCUACGGGAGGCAGCAGUGGGGAAUAUUGCGCAAUGGGCGAAAGCCUGACGCAGCGACGCCGCGUGAGGGAUGAAGGUUUUCGGAUCGUAAACCUCUUUCAGCAGGGAAGAACGGUCACUUUCCUAAUCAGCAGUGAAUUGACGGUACCUGCAAAGGAAGCACCGGCUAACUCCGUGCCAGCAGCCGCUGUAAUACGGAGGGUGCGAGCGUUAAUCGGAAUUACUGGGCGUAAAGCGCUCGUAGGCGGUAUGUCAAGUCAAGGGUGAAAUCCCCUGGCUCAACGUGGGAACUGCCUUUGAUACUGGCGAACUGGAGUGUGGGAGAGGAUAGUGGAAUUCCAGGUGUAGGAGUGAAAUGCGUAGAUAUCAGGAGGAACAUCAGUGGCGAAGGCGACUAACUGGCACAUAACUGACGCUGAGGAGCGAAAGCGUGGGUAGCAAACAGGAUUAGAUACCCGAGUAGUC
This 465-nucleotide ribosomal RNA is filed under the name uncultured bacterium. RNAcentral describes it as "partial 16S ribosomal RNA". It matches the Rfam family "Bacterial small subunit ribosomal RNA", at positions 338 to 795 of the family's 1533-position model. The record is from RNAcentral.